This 31-nucleotide non-coding RNA is filed under the name Mus musculus (house mouse). The record is from RNAcentral. Lineage: Eukaryota; Metazoa; Chordata; Mammalia; Rodentia; Muridae.
UGGGAUCUUUGAAGGAAAGUCCAUUUCAAAU